RNAcentral lists this ribosomal RNA (441 nucleotides) under uncultured bacterium. RNAcentral's name for it is "partial 16S ribosomal RNA". It matches the Rfam family "Bacterial small subunit ribosomal RNA", at positions 338 to 795 of the family's 1533-position model. The record is from RNAcentral.
CCUACGGGUGGCAGCAGUGGGGAAUAUUGCACAAUGGGGGAAACCCUGAUGCAGCAACGCCGCGUGAGUGAAGAAGGUUUUCGGAUCGUAAAGCUCUGUUAGCAGGGAAGAGGGAGGACGGUACCUGCAGAUGAAGACACGGCUAACUACGUGCCAGCAGCCGCGGUAAAACGUAGUUGGCAAGCGUUGGUCGGAAUAACUGGGCGUAAAGGAUGCGGAGGCGGUUAAACAAGUUAUAUGUUAAAUAGAUAGGCUUAAACUGUAGUAAGAUUAUGAAACUGUUUAACUAGAGUGCAAGAGAGGUGAGUGGAAUUCCAAGUGUAGCGGUGAAAUGCGUAGAGAUUAGGAGGAACACCAGUGGCGAAGGCGACUUACUGGACUGUAACUGACGCUGAGGCAUGAGAGCAUGGGGAGCAAACAGGAUUAGAUACCCUGGUAGUC